Molecule: non-coding RNA, 107 nt
Organism: Candidatus Buchananbacteria bacterium
Lineage: Bacteria; Candidatus Buchananiibacteriota
Source: Rfam
CCUGGUGAUUCUAGCGACAGGGUCACACCCGAUCCCAUCCCGAACUCGGAAGUUAAGCCUGUCAGCACCGAUGAUACUUUUAUAGGGAAAGUAGGUCAUCGCCAGGA